Molecule: small RNA, 269 nt
Filed under: Saimiri boliviensis boliviensis (Bolivian squirrel monkey)
Lineage: Eukaryota; Metazoa; Chordata; Mammalia; Primates; Cebidae
Description: Metazoan signal recognition particle RNA (ENSSBOG00000002231.1)
Source: RNAcentral
GCCAAGUGUGGUUGUGGGCACCUGUAAUCCCAGCCACUCAGGAGGCUGAGGCAGGAGGAUCCCUUGAACCUGGGAGGCACAGGUUGCAGUGAGCCAAGAUCGCGCCACUGCACUCCAGCCUGAGUAGACAGAGUGAAACUCUAACUCAAAAAAAAAAAAAAAAAGAUUAAGUCUCGCUCUUGCUCUUGUCUCCCAGGCUGGAGUGCAGUGGUGUGAUCUCAGCUCACUGCAACCUCCGCCUCCCGGGUUCAAGGGAUCCUCCUGCCUCA